RNAcentral lists this non-coding RNA (31 nucleotides) under Mus musculus (house mouse). Lineage: Eukaryota; Metazoa; Chordata; Mammalia; Rodentia; Muridae. The record is from RNAcentral.
UGCCAAAUUCUAUAUGGUUUAUAUUACACUC